GACAGCAGUCGCCGCGGUAAUGCGAAGGGUGCAUGCGUUAAUCGGAAUUACUGGGCGUAAAGCGUGCGUAGGCGGUUUGUUAAGUCUGUUGUGAAAUCCCCGGGCUCAACCUGGGAAUGGCAAUGGAUACUGGCAAGCUAGAGUGUGUCAGAGGAUGGUGGAAUUCCCGGUGUAGCGGUGAAAUGCGUAGAGAUCGGGAGGAACAUCAGUGGCGAAGGCGGCCAUCUGGGACAACACUGACGCUGAGGCACGAAAGCGUGGGGAGCAAACAGGAUUAGAUACCCGCGUAGUCCCUGUCUCUUAUAC
This 306-nucleotide ribosomal RNA is filed under the name uncultured bacterium. RNAcentral describes it as "partial 16S ribosomal RNA". It matches the Rfam family "Bacterial small subunit ribosomal RNA", at positions 507 to 807 of the family's 1533-position model. The record is from RNAcentral.